GCCCAAACCAGAAACUUCGUUUCUGGGGUUGUGGAUAGAUCAUAACGCUUUGAUUUUCUUAGCCGAAUAGAACUGGAAAGUUCAGUCGUAGAAGGUAAUAACCCUGUAGGCGAAAAGAAAAGAUAAGCAGAUCUACUCCAGAGUACCACGAGACACGUGAAACCUUGUGGGAAGCAGGGAGGACCAUCUCCCAAGGCUAAAUACUACCUAGUGACCGAUAGCGAAGCAGUACCGUGAGGGAAAGGUGAAAAGAACCCCGGGAGGGGAGUGAAAUAGAACCUGAAACCGUGUGCCUACAAUCGGUGGGAGCACUUUUAUGUGUGACCGCGUACUUUUUGUAGAACGGGCCAGCGAGUUACGAUAUGCAGCAAGGUUAAGCACUUCUGGUGCGGAGCCGAAGGGAAACCGAGUCUGAAUAGGGCAACUAGUUGCAUAUCGUAGACCCGAAACCGGGUGACCUAUCCAUGGCCAGGAUGAAGCGAAAGUAAAAUUUCGUGGAGGUCCGAACCACGU
RNAcentral lists this non-coding RNA (513 nucleotides) under Clostridium colicanis DSM 13634. Its description in RNAcentral is "Bacterial large subunit ribosomal RNA". It matches the Rfam family "Bacterial large subunit ribosomal RNA", at positions 267 to 784 of the family's 2925-position model. The record is from Rfam by way of RNAcentral. Lineage: Bacteria; Bacillati; Bacillota; Clostridia; Eubacteriales; Clostridiaceae.